This 254-nucleotide ribosomal RNA is filed under the name uncultured bacterium. RNAcentral describes it as "partial 16S ribosomal RNA". It matches the Rfam family "Bacterial small subunit ribosomal RNA", at positions 524 to 776 of the family's 1533-position model. The record is from RNAcentral.
UACGGGGGGGGGCAAGCGUUGUUCGGAAUUACUGGGCGGAAAGGGCUCGUAGGUGGCCCCAUAAGUCAGACGUGAAAUCCCUCGGCUCAACCGAGGAACUGCGUCUGAGACUGUGGGGCUUGAAUCCGGGAGAGGGAUGCGGAAUUCCAGGUGUAGCGGUGAAAUGCGUAGAUAUCUGGAGGAACACCGGUGGCGAAGGCGGCAUCCUGGACCGGUAUUGACACUGAUGAGCGAAAGCCAGGGGAGCAAACGGG